CUCAUUUUUCCCGGGCUUUCGGUCGGCGUUUUCGUUUUCUCGCGGGUUUGGGCGCGCAUCGAACUCUGAAGGGUCGGGAAGGCCUGUCGUUGGAAUGUGGUUGAGUUCCAGGGAGUGUACAGGCUGGAGGAUGGGACAAGACCUAUCUCUGUAUCGAUCAAGCACGGCGUUGGUGUUCCAGCUCAUCACCAAUCCUAAGGAAUUCAAGUGCCUCCCAGGAUGAAUACAGGUUGUCUUGAUGGUGAUACAUUCAUCUGUCUUAAGAUCCCUGCUGAUCUGCUCAUGGUCAAACUCAUGGAAAGAGUUGAGAGUGGGGCACCUUGUUCCUGCAUCCUCAAAGGAGCAUCUUGUUCCAGAGUUAAAAGGUUCCAGAGUUAAAAGGUACCUGUACCAUUUAGCGGCUUGUUCACUCAAAGAUCCAUCUUUUCUGGAGCCUGAGGAUGAUUGGAGGUGAAAGGUGUAAGCCAUACUCUGCUCAACUCCAGUCUGAAACUAAGGUUUAAAGAAAGAACACGUACUUAACACACGGGAAUCCAACUCUUGGAGGACAUCAGAAGUGGAAUUUUCUUAUACAACCUACCUAUUCAAAUUAGCAUAUAAUCUUUCUAGCCUUUCUAAAUAAAUAAAGGGAUUUUUUUGU
This 640-nucleotide long non-coding RNA is filed under the name Sus scrofa (pig). Its description in RNAcentral is "lncRNA (ENSSSCG00025073103.1)". Lineage: Eukaryota; Metazoa; Chordata; Mammalia; Artiodactyla; Suidae. The record is from RNAcentral.